UGAGGAAUAUUGGACAAUGGGGGAAACCCUGAUCCAGCCAUGCCGCGUGAGUGAUGAAGGCCUUCGGGUUGUAAAACUCUUUUAGAUGUGACGAUGAUGACGGUAACAUCAGAAAAAGCUCCGGCUAACUUCGUGCCAGCAGCCGCGGUAAUACGAAGGGAGCGAGCGUUGUUCGGAAUCACUGGGCUUAAAGCGUGCGUAGGUGGAUUGGCAAGUCAGGAGUGAAAUCCCGGGGCUUAACCCCGGAACUGCUCUUGAGACUGCCUGUCUGGAAUUCGGAAGAGGUUGGUGGAACUCCCAGUGUAGAGGUGAAAUUCGCAGAUAUUGGGAAGAACACCGGUGGCGAAGGCGACCAACUGGUCCGACAUUGACACUGAGGCACGAAAGCGUGGGUAGCAAACAGGAUUAGAUACCCCCGUAGUCC
RNAcentral lists this ribosomal RNA (424 nucleotides) under uncultured bacterium. RNAcentral describes it as "bacterial SSU rRNA". It matches the Rfam family "Bacterial small subunit ribosomal RNA", at positions 355 to 796 of the family's 1533-position model. The record is from RNAcentral.